Aotus nancymaae (Ma's night monkey) is the source of this 134-nucleotide small nucleolar RNA. Its record names the gene SNORA70. It matches the Rfam family "Small nucleolar RNA SNORA70". From Rfam's summary of the family: snoRNA U70 seems to be exclusive to mammals and is a member of the H/ACA class of snoRNA which contain H (ANANNA) and ACA box motifs. The record is from Ensembl. Lineage: Eukaryota; Metazoa; Chordata; Mammalia; Primates; Aotidae.
AGGCACGCUAUUGUUAAGACUAAAAAGCUCCAUGGGGGCCCAGUGUGUGCAAUGGCUACAAAUAGCAGCUUCCUUGGUAGUGUAAUGCAGCCUGUUUCUUGUAUGGGUUGCUCUAAGGGACCUUGGAGACAAGC